CAGUGGCAGGGCAGUGGGCUAUGUACACCAGCUGUGGAGUUGCUGCAUCCUGCAGUGCUUCCGUGGGAAAUGUGGGAGUGAUGGGGCCAGUGUGUGGCAGUUGUGUCUGUCUCAGGGCCGGGCGGAAGAGCUCUUGCAUGCCCCUUGCCCACCUUGACAGUGUCUCUCUGGGACUUGCAGAACUUGCUGAAGAAGUAUUUCUUGGGCAACCCCGUCUCCCCAGUGCCCCUCAAGGUGGUUCUGGCCCUGGAGCAGUUGAGGUAAGGGCCAGGUAAGUCUGUUUGAGGUGAAAAUUACUCAGUUACAACUUGAGACUCCUCUUUUUCUAGCAAGAUGUGGAGGAGAAUAAGAGAGUUUUGUCUUUGAUGGUGGAACUGGUAGAAGAAUGAAAAGAAGAAAGAAUGAAAGGGAAAGAAUCACAAAAUCACAGAAUGUCAGGAACUGGAAGGAACCUCAGAAGAUCUUCUAGUCCAAUCCCCCCGCUUUAGCAGGAACACCUAGAUUAGGUCACACAGGAAUGUGUCCAGGCAGUAGUAUGCAUCAUAAGUAAUGAAUGUGAAAAGGCA
RNAcentral lists this long non-coding RNA (566 nucleotides) under Gallus gallus (chicken). RNAcentral describes it as "long non-coding RNA NONGGAT001068". The record is from RNAcentral. Lineage: Eukaryota; Metazoa; Chordata; Aves; Galliformes; Phasianidae.